This is a long non-coding RNA of Mirounga angustirostris (Northern elephant seal), 466 nucleotides long. RefSeq lists it as uncharacterized. The transcript is spliced from 3 exons. NCBI's taxonomy places the organism in Eukaryota, Metazoa, Chordata, Mammalia, Carnivora, Phocidae. The record is from RefSeq and is a predicted model, not a curated record.
GUAACUCGACAAGGAAAAGCCAACUGUGGCUUGCUUCUAAGCAACUUCAUGCAACAACUGCAGAGACUGACCCCACCCCGCAGAUAACACAGGGCAAAGAACAGGCACACAUCCCCCGCCUUGCUGCGGGUUAUGGCCCUAUGUAUUUUAUUCCUGUGAGUGUUUCGGUCUGGGGAGUUCCAGCAGGCAGAGGCUAUGACUCACUGCUCCCUCCAGUUCUGGGAAAAUUCCAGCUGUCAGAGGCACCAUAAGGACUGUUGACAUCAGUGACCAGGGAAAUUCCAGCAGAGGAUGCCUCUUUGGUGGGAGCAGAGAACUUUUUGGACGCGCCAGAAGGAAAAGGAGGGCCAGGUCUCUGAAGAACAAAGGCCAGGAACGAGUGCAGCCCAAACUGAUUCAGAGCUUUCAUGUCAAGGAGCUCCUGAUAUUCCAGAAAAGAAAAGAUCUGGGUGGAGACAAGAGCAGA